Pelobates cultripes (western spadefoot toad) is the source of this 288-nucleotide non-coding RNA. NCBI's taxonomy places the organism in Eukaryota, Metazoa, Chordata, Amphibia, Anura, Pelobatidae. The record is from the annotation of a GenBank genome assembly.
ACGAGUUCCACUCUGACUGUUAGACAUUGGUACCUUAGAUAUUUGUUAACAGCAAUUCUACAAUAAUCCAUCGCUUCCCUGAUACAUAAACCUUGACUAAUUGUUAAUAAAAGUCUUCUUUAAUUUGAGAUAUUUUAGAAUGUACACAUUUCAAAUAAUUGCAUUUUGGUUACUAAAAUUAUCAUUUAAAAACCCUUCUGGAUACUAUAUCUAAUAAACAAUGUUUCUGUUCCAUUCCUUGCAAAGAAAUCUGUAAAAAAAGAAAAAAAAGAUCAGGUAACUAUGGAC